Molecule: ribosomal RNA, 497 nt
Filed under: uncultured bacterium
Lineage: Bacteria
Description: partial 16S ribosomal RNA
Rfam family: Bacterial small subunit ribosomal RNA
Source: RNAcentral
GAUGAACGCUGGCGGCGUGCCUAAUACAUGCAAGUCGAGCGAACAGACGAGGAGCUUGCUCCUCUGACGUUAGCGGCGGACGGGUGAGUAACACGUGGAUAACCUACCUAUAAGACUGGGAUAACUUCGGGAAAUCGGAGCUAAUACCGGCUGAUAUAUUGAACCGCAUGGUUAAAUAGUGAAAGACGGCUUUGCUGUCACUUAUAGAUGGAUCCGCGCCGCAUUAGCUAGUUGGUAAGGUAACGGCUUACCAAGGCGACGAUGCGUAGCCGACCUGAGAGGGUGAUCGGCCACACUGGAACUGAGACACGGUCCAGACUCCUACGGGAGGCAGCAGUAGGGAAUCUUCCGCAAUGGGCGAAAGCCUGACGGAGCAACGCCGCGUGAGUGAUGAAGGUCUUCGGAUCGUAAAACUCUGUUAUUAGGGAAGAACAAAUGUGUAAGUAACUAUGCACGUCUUGACGGUACCUAAUCAGAAAGCCACGGCUAACUACGUG